CGGUGCCCCUGUCGAACCCUAACCCCCAAAAUCCAAAUCCCCAACCUCGAUCGAUCGAUCGGCCGAACCCUAACCCCCACCGCCCAAAUCCCCAAUUCCGCACGGCGACGAUGGCCGCCGGCAACCCCCGCCUCCCCAACUUCAUCCUCCUCGACGCGACCACCCGCAUCAGCGAUCCCCGCAACGGAACCGCCACCGCGUGGGCCUUGACGACGGCGGGCCUCACCAUACAGGUCUCCUUGGUGGUGGCCGCGCCGCCGCGCCUCUCCCACUUCUGCGUCUGCUGCCCCGGCCGCGACGCGACCACCUUCGCGCACGCGCCCGAGGUCGUCUGCUCCGCGGGGGACCACGCCCUUAUCCGGGCCGACUUCACCACCGGCGACUCGGAGUCGCAGCAGCACUUCAUCUACCGAGCCAGGGGCCCCGACGACCGGCCGUCGCUUGACCUGAUCCCGGACUUCACUGGUUAUUCCCGGGCAGAGCUUCUGCAUCUGCCCCUCGGUUUCGUCUCCAGCCGCAACCACUUGGUCAUAGCGGCUCUGAGCUACGGGACGAAGGACUCGCAGUACUAUCUCCACACCCUCAGCUCCGAGCCGCGGUCCAAGUGGACCAAGAAGCUGCUGCAGGUGGAGCUCCCCCAUGGAUUAUCCAGGAAACAGCUUGUGAUCGAUCACGCCAAGGUGAUCGCCCUCGGAGGCGGGCUGCUGGGAUGGGUCGAUCUCUGGGAGGGCAUCCUGAUCUGUGACGUGCUCGAACCCGGGGCAGCCGUGUCACGCUUGGUCCCGAUGCCCAAGCUGCUGCCCAGCAACAAACCACUCUACGGCCAAUCUUUGCCUCGGGCGAUUCGCGACGUCACCUUCAGCCGUGGCUACAUGAGAUGCGUCGAACUUGAGGAGCUGGUAGAACUUAGAGUCAGAACUGUGCCGCCUCUUCCUGACCCCUGGGACAUGGAUGAGCUCCAAGACUCGGAAUUGGCCAUCGAUCCUCCGCAGGAGGAUGGGGAAGAAUAUGUCACCGUUGGUUGGAGGCUCAUCACAUGGUACAGGGCAUUGACUUGGAACUGUUGGCGCAAGGGGAACAGGGUUCAUUCCGAUGAGCUCGGUAGUGUCUCCCCUCAGCUAGGAGGUAGUGCCUGUGGUUUAAAACUGCCACUCAAGGACCUGAGAGUAGCUGCUCCUAUUCUGCGUGGCGACGGUGAUGCUGUUUACCUCGCGUCCGCGCUGCAUAAGCGGGACCCAACUGCAUGGAUUGUCGCUGUUGACACUAGGAGGAAGUCGGUGGAAGAGCUUAUGCCAUGCUCUGCAAAGGGGCUGUAUCUUUACGAUCCGACCUACAUUCCAUAUGUGCUGACCGAAUAUCUGAAUGAUAAAUCAGAUGGAGCUCAGGUACAGACGCAAAAUGCUUGCCAUCACACCCCACGAAACUUUGAUGGGUCCGAGAAGAAGCGGCAGCGACUUUCACAGACAGAAUCUGAAGUCUGAAAUGUUGAUGAUACAGCUCAUGGACUUCGAGGAUUAGUGAAAGCUUCAGAUUUGUUGUUUGAGUAACUAUCAAACUAGAAGAUACAGUUUAGUAAUCUUCCAUUUACGAGUAACAUAACGAUGGGGUUGCAUGACCUGGUAAGUUGAGUCAGCUGGGUGGUUUUGUACUGUGCAGUGCUGGCAUCGUAGGAGGAUGCUACUAACAAUGGGGAUUAAUUCUGACAUCAAUUCUGUGUCAACAUUUUAUUUUCAAGUUGAGGAGGAAGAAUAUGCUCGUUCUUUUCCUUGUAGCCCAGCAAAACGCAAUCAUGCCACUGCUGCCUUUGGUGACGCUGAUUCUUCUACAGUCUUGGUUGAGUAGUUUGUUUUUGCGACAUGGACCUGCUUUUGUACUAUCUUGUAAACUGGGAUCAGCAUUACUCAUGUAAAUUUUGUUGUGUGCAAAAUAAUAGUGGUGUUGCUAUGAUAACUAUUAUGCAGUCCAACUACAAUUG
RNA transcript from Triticum aestivum (bread wheat), 1975 nucleotides. RefSeq lists it as uncharacterized. NCBI's taxonomy places the organism in Eukaryota, Viridiplantae, Streptophyta, Magnoliopsida, Poales, Poaceae. The transcript has 3 exons. The record is from RefSeq and is a predicted model, not a curated record.